AAGACUCUACUUUCAGGGAUCAUUUCUUUAGUUUGGAACUAGAGGAUUGUGUUUCUACAGAGGUUGGUCUUGCUGUCCAUGAUGAUGAAUGAAGAUGUUUCCUUCAGAGAAGGAAGCUGGUGAGAAGAUGAGAAUCUUCUUCAUUGAUGAAGACUGUUCAGUGUUUCUGCAUUUGACACUGAAGGAGGAAACAUUGUCUGAGUGGA
This 206-nucleotide small nucleolar RNA is filed under the name Oryzias latipes (Japanese medaka). RNAcentral's name for it is "Small nucleolar RNA U3 (ENSORLG00000024362.1)". It matches the Rfam family "Small nucleolar RNA U3". From Rfam's summary of the family: Small nucleolar RNAs (snoRNAs) are involved in the processing and modification of rRNA in the nucleolus. There are two main classes of snoRNAs: the box C/D class, and the box H/ACA class. U3 snoRNA is a member of the box C/D class. Lineage: Eukaryota; Metazoa; Chordata; Actinopteri; Beloniformes; Adrianichthyidae. The record is from Rfam by way of RNAcentral.